GAUGAAGAACGUAGUGAAAUGCGAUACUUGGUGUGAAUUGCAGAAUCCCGUGAACCAUCGAGUCUUUGAACGCAAGUUGCGCCCGAAGCCAUUAGGCCGAGGGCACGCCUGCCUGGGCGUCACACGUCGUUGCCCCCCCAUCUACUCCUUCGGGAUUGCGGGGGGCGGAUGAUGGCCUCCCGUGCGCCUCGUCGCGCGGUUGGCAUAAAUGCCAAGUCCUCGGCGACGCACGCCACGACAAUCGGUGGUUGCGAAACCUCGGUUGCCCGUCGUGUGCGGUCGUCGCGCAUCGAGGGCUCGAAAAAAUUGUCGGGCUCCGGCUCGGCUUUCAACGCGACCCCAGGUCAGGCGGGGUUACCCGCUGAAUUUAAGCAUAUCAAUAAGCGGAGGAU
RNAcentral lists this unclassified non-coding RNA (392 nucleotides) under soil metagenome. Its description in RNAcentral is "partial contains 5.8S ribosomal RNA, internal transcribed spacer 2, and large subunit ribosomal RNA". The stretch from base 1 to 122 matches the Rfam family "5.8S ribosomal RNA", at positions 35 to 154 of the family's 154-position model. The record is from RNAcentral.